Heterocephalus glaber (naked mole-rat) is the source of this 170-nucleotide small nuclear RNA. Its record names the gene U2. It matches the Rfam family "U2 spliceosomal RNA". From Rfam's summary of the family: U2 is a small nuclear RNA (snRNA) component of the spliceosome (involved in pre-mRNA splicing). Complementary binding between U2 snRNA (in an area lying towards the 5' end but 3' to hairpin I) and the branchpoint sequence (BPS) of the intron results the bulging out of an unpaired adenosine, on the BPS, which initiates a nucleophilic attack at the intronic 5' splice site, thus starting the first of two transesterification reactions that mediate splicing. Lineage: Eukaryota; Metazoa; Chordata; Mammalia; Rodentia; Bathyergidae. The record is from Ensembl.
AUCGCUUCUCGGCCUUUUGGCUAAGAUCAAGUAGUCCCAUAAGACAGUUGUACAGCUGUACUGCAUAGCAGGUUGAACAUACUGCUAUCAUUGUAUUUUUGAUGCAUAUCUUGUCAAAUGAUAAAAUGUUCUGUGUAGCUUCCAGACUCCUAAAUUAGAUCAUAAAUCCA